AUACUUACCUGUCAGGACAAAGACCAUGAUCACAGUGGUGGUUUUCCCAGGGUGAGGCUUAUCCACUGCACUCUCGUGCUAAUCCCUGCAAUUUCCCCAAAAUUCAGGGAACACAACUGCAUAAUUUGUGGUAGUCGGGGACUCGUGGACAGGAAAUGUUUCUACGAACUCUGU
This 174-nucleotide small nuclear RNA is filed under the name Ornithorhynchus anatinus (platypus). Its description in RNAcentral is "U1 spliceosomal RNA (ENSOANG00000016648.3)". It matches the Rfam family "U1 spliceosomal RNA". Rfam says of the family: U1 is a small nuclear RNA (snRNA) component of the spliceosome (involved in pre-mRNA splicing). Its 5' end forms complementary base pairs with the 5' splice junction, thus defining the 5' donor site of an intron. Lineage: Eukaryota; Metazoa; Chordata; Mammalia; Monotremata; Ornithorhynchidae. The record is from Rfam by way of RNAcentral.